GUUGGAAUAGCAUAGUUGGUUAGAGCAUGUUGCUGUUAACCACAAGGGUGGAGGUUUAAGCCCUCCUUUUAGCG
Molecule: transfer RNA, 74 nt
Filed under: Ipomoea nil (Japanese morning glory)
Lineage: Eukaryota; Viridiplantae; Streptophyta; Magnoliopsida; Solanales; Convolvulaceae
Rfam family: tRNA
About the family: Transfer RNA (tRNA) molecules are approximately 80 nucleotides in length. Their secondary structure includes four short double-helical elements and three loops (D, anti-codon, and T loops).
Source: Rfam by way of RNAcentral